This is a non-coding RNA of Heteronotia binoei (common prickly gecko), 69 nucleotides long. The record is from the annotation of a RefSeq genome assembly. NCBI's taxonomy places the organism in Eukaryota, Metazoa, Chordata, Lepidosauria, Squamata, Gekkonidae.
GGGGUGGCUCAGUGGUAGAGUGUCUGCUUGACAUGCAGAAGGUCACAGGUUCAAUCCCUGGUAUCUCCA